This 447-nucleotide unclassified non-coding RNA is filed under the name soil metagenome. RNAcentral's name for it is "partial contains 5.8S ribosomal RNA, internal transcribed spacer 2, and large subunit ribosomal RNA". The stretch from base 1 to 120 matches the Rfam family "5.8S ribosomal RNA", at positions 35 to 154 of the family's 154-position model. The record is from RNAcentral.
GAUGAAGAACGCAGCGAAAUGCGAUAAGUAAUGUGAAUUGCAGAAUUCAGUGAAUCAUCGAAUCUUUGAACGCACCUUGUACUCCUUGGUAUUCCGAGGAGUAUGCCUGUUUGAGUGUCAUGAAAUUCUCAACUGCCUUUUUAGCAUUUAUGUUAAGGGUGAAGUUGGAGUUGGAGGAUAAUUGCUGGCGCACAACUUAGGUUGUUUGUUAGCUCCUCCUAAAUGGAUGAGCUUUUCUAAUAGAUCAUGGCUCAGUAACACUAAUGUGAUAAUUAUCUACAUUAAAUGUGAAAGCUAUGAGUAGAGUAACUUCAAUUGUGGAGAAGCUCCUAUAGAAAGGGUAUGUCUUGGGGAUAAAUAAACCCUUGACUUGAAAUAUAAUGACAAAUCUGACCUCAAAUCAGGUAGGACUACCCGCUGAACUUAAGCAUAUCAAUAAGCGAAGGA